RNAcentral lists this long non-coding RNA (1626 nucleotides) under Triticum aestivum (bread wheat). Its description in RNAcentral is "long non-coding RNA (TAES_LNC027918)". The record is from RNAcentral. Lineage: Eukaryota; Viridiplantae; Streptophyta; Magnoliopsida; Poales; Poaceae.
GCAAAGAAUGAAUGCUGGAGUGUGUUACUGUGCUUCAUUACAAUCCCUAGAAAACUUUAGAAAGGGUGUUUCUGUCCACCCACAAAAAUCAAAAGAUAAAUCUAUGAUUGCGCGGCAGGCCUGAUAAUCCACACCAGACCAAUCAGAAAAGAGGACAAUCUGUGACUUGUUGAUUAAUUAACAAACCCGGUGUUGUUGUCCACUACCAGCCGGCUGGAGGCCCCAACUCGUUUGGCUCCGUCUACGCGGUGCCAGGAGAUUAGCACAUGGAUGCAUCCGCCGGCAGUACCAACUGCACAUCAAAGAACAACGGAUUAGUACGUUGACAGGGAUAGAAAGAAAAAUAUGAAACUCGGACACACGGAAUUUGCAGUUAUCAACAAACACUAAUUUGAAUACCUUCUAAAUCUCACAUAGUGCAGGGCUGCUCUGAAUAUCAUUGUGUUCCGUAAAUAAUGUUCCUUUCCUAGUCUACUACCGGGUGCACAAUCCAUCGACCACCAUGAUCCUCUGUCACAUUAAAGCUGUCCUACAUCAUCAGAUUAGAGUCUUUGCUCUUGUUGAUAAAUUGCGUAACACUCUGAAACACAACGAUAUUUUUUUACUCGUCAGAUUCAGAUUGGAGUCUGUUUUUUUACUCUGAAACACAAAAAGAACAUUGUCCCAUUGUCAACGGAGUAAAGAAAGAAUAGAUUAUCUUCAUGCCCCCGUAUUUAUGAAAAAUAUUUAUUCAACAAAAACAUGUCUACCUGCCCACUUCAUUGCAAACCAACUCACGUGUGCAGCAACAUUAUUUAUUAAUAAUGUAAAAUAUGUCUGCUACUCAACAAAGUUUAGAACCAAAUGGACAACUAUGAAGAAGCAUAAAUAUUUUGUAAUCCUUUUUAGCUUCCCUUACAUGUUGUAGGCAGCAUACGAUACUUAUCUGAAAUACCUAAAGGCACAAGAAAAGCUAGUGUAGAAUGAAGAAACUUUAAUCUAACCUCGCUCAAUCUGGUGUAUUUCCUUGAGCACCCAUGCGAGUGUCUUAGCUCUUCUUCAUACGCAUGGGGCACGAGCAUGUUCUCCAGGGAGGACAGUAGCUCUCACCCACGACCUCCUCGAUGUCGUUGGCGAAGUAGCAGAGGGUGACGGUGUGGAAUUGCUUGGUCGCUUGUGUGGGUGACCUCAAGGCGUUGCUGGUGGGAGGUCACAGACAAGCGCGUGCUGUCGGUGAAGAUGGAUCUAGAGAACAAGAAUUCAACCUACAAUUAAAAACUGCACAUACAUACUAUGUAUGCCCUCCAUAUGUCUCAAUUCAGAUUACACAUGUCUUACCUGCAUCUCAAUACUCCACAUAAUGUUGGUCACUCAGAUUGUCCUCCUCGUCUUCUACAAUUUUGCUGUUCGUGUACGCUACCCUAACCCCUGGUCAAAAAGCAAUUAUCGAUUAGUGCAAAGGGAUAACAUAGAGAGGGCAGAAAAAUGACCGGUGCAACUCCCAGCCACAUCUCUCACAAAUUCAUCUCCAUUGCCGACCAAAUACGAGUGCAAAAUCGCCUGCUCCCUAGCCUCUCAACCAUGUCAGGUGUAAAUAGAACAGCCGCCAGUCGUCGCCUCCGCCCAUCGACCACACAUCAUGCAGAG